This 442-nucleotide ribosomal RNA is filed under the name uncultured soil bacterium. RNAcentral's name for it is "bacterial SSU rRNA". It matches the Rfam family "Bacterial small subunit ribosomal RNA", at positions 26 to 518 of the family's 1533-position model. The record is from RNAcentral.
AGAACGAACGCUGGCGGCAUGCCUAAUACAUGCAAGUCGAACGAACUCUUCGGAGUUAGUGGCGCACGGGUGCGUAACGCGUGGGAAUCUGCCCUUGGGUUCGGAAUAACAGUUGGAAACGACUGCUAAUACCGGAUGAUGACGUAAGUCCAAAGAUUUAUCGCCCAAGGAUGAGCCCGCGUAGGAUUAGCUAGUUGGUGGGGUAAAGGCCUACCAAGGCGACGAUCCUUAGCUGGUCUGAGAGGAUGAUCAGCCACACUGGGACUGAGACACGGCCCAGACUCCUACGGGAGGCAGCAGUAGGGAAUAUUGGACAAUGGGCGAAAGCCUGAUCCAGCAAUGCCGCGUGAGUGAUGAAGGCCUUAGGUGUAAAGCUCUUUACCGAGAUGAUAAUGACAGUAUCGGAGAAUAAGCCCCGGCUAACUCCGUGCCAGCAGCCGAC